GACGAACCGUGCAAACGUUAUUCGGAAUCACUGGGCUUAAAGGGCGCGUAGGCGGGUUAUCAAGUCCGGAGUGAAAUCCCACGGCCCAACCGUGGAAGUGCUUUGGAUACUGGUAACCUCGAGGGAGAUAGGGGCACGCGGAACUUCCGGUGGAGCGGUGAAAUGCGUAGAUAUCGGAAGGAACGCCGGUGGCGAAAGCGGCGUGCUGGGUCUCUUCUGACGCUGAGGCGCGAAAGCUAGGGGAGCAAACGGG
RNAcentral lists this ribosomal RNA (253 nucleotides) under uncultured bacterium. Its description in RNAcentral is "partial 16S ribosomal RNA". It matches the Rfam family "Bacterial small subunit ribosomal RNA", at positions 524 to 776 of the family's 1533-position model. The record is from RNAcentral.